UAAGCGUGCGCAGGCGGUUAUAUAAGACAGAUGUGAAAUCCCCGGGCUCAACCUGGGAACUGCAUUUGUGACUGUAUAGCUGGAGUGCGGCAGAGGGGGAUGGAAUUCCGCGUGUAGCAGUGAAAUGCGUAGAUAUGCGGAGGAACACCGAUGGCGAAGGCAAUCCCCUGGGCCUGCACUGACGCUCAUGCACGAAAGCGUGGGGAGCAAACAGGAUUAGAUACCCCUGU
This 230-nucleotide ribosomal RNA is filed under the name uncultured bacterium. RNAcentral describes it as "partial 16S ribosomal RNA". It matches the Rfam family "Bacterial small subunit ribosomal RNA", at positions 563 to 791 of the family's 1533-position model. The record is from RNAcentral.